UCAGGUGGUUUUAGCGGCAGGGCUCCACCUCUUCCCAUUCCGAACAGAGAAGUUAAACCUGCCAGCGCCGAUGGUACUGCAUUUGUGGGAGAGUAGGUCGCCGCCGAUC
RNAcentral lists this ribosomal RNA (109 nucleotides) under Bacteroidales bacterium. The record is from RNAcentral. Lineage: Bacteria; Pseudomonadati; Bacteroidota; Bacteroidia; Bacteroidales.